CCUCUUCCUCUUUACCGUAAGGACCUCCACUUAGAAUUGAAAUAAAUUCAUCUCCCUUGGCUCUUUCAGAGAGGGUUUCGAUUCAGCUGGACCAGAUUCAUCCAACCAGUCUCACCAUCAAAAUCUAAGAAGAUGAGGAAAUUUCUCCUCCUCGCUUUUCUUCUCUUCUGCCCAGAGGCGGUGGGCUUCAAUUGCUACAAGACUGAUGUGAGGUUCCCAACCAUCAUCAAAACAGUCGCUGCUCGUAGGACGGAAGUCUGUGCCUCAAUAUUUUUGUACUUGCGUUAUAAUGGCAGAGAUAUAGAAAGAAAUGUUGUUACAGCUUUGGAUGCUGUUGAAAGAUGCAAUGUACAGGAAGUAAAUGGCUCUAUAUAUCCUACUCUGUGCUGCGCAACUGAUCUCUGUAAUGCUAAAAGACCGUGACAAGAUAUUUCUGGUUUCAACCUGUGAUUAACCACCAGAACCAUCUCCUUUCAUAAAGCCUGAUGUAUAAUUCCACAGACAAAUAAUAAAGGAGCAUUCAAAUCCA
RNAcentral lists this long non-coding RNA (529 nucleotides) under Pogona vitticeps (central bearded dragon). Its description in RNAcentral is "lncRNA (ENSPVIG00000007742.1)". Lineage: Eukaryota; Metazoa; Chordata; Lepidosauria; Squamata; Agamidae. The record is from RNAcentral.